Hyaloscypha variabilis F is the source of this 126-nucleotide non-coding RNA. The record is from the annotation of a GenBank genome assembly. NCBI's taxonomy places the organism in Eukaryota, Fungi, Ascomycota, Leotiomycetes, Helotiales, Hyaloscyphaceae.
AGCAAUGUGGCGCAGCGGAAGCGCGCCGUACGUCUACCUAUACUUGAUUAUCAAUAGAAUUCUUAACUAACAUUAUCACAGGGGCUCAUAACCCGGAGGUCCCUGGAUCGAAACCAGGCAUUGCUA